Molecule: ribosomal RNA, 468 nt
Filed under: uncultured bacterium
Lineage: Bacteria
Description: partial 16S ribosomal RNA
Rfam family: Bacterial small subunit ribosomal RNA
Source: RNAcentral
GACGAACGCUGGCGGCGUGCUUAACACAUGCAAGUCGAACGGAAAGGCCCUGCUUUUGCGGGGUGCUCGAGUGGCGAACGGGUGAGUAACACGUGAGUAACCUGCCCUUGACUUUGGGAUAACUUCAGGAAACUGGGGCUAAUACCGGAUAGGAGCUCCUGCUGCAUGGUGGGGGUUGGAAAGUUUCGGCGGUUGGGGAUGGACUCGCGGCUUAUCAGCUUGUUGGUGGGGUAGUGGCUUACCAAGGCUUUGACGGGUAGCCGGCCUGAGAGGGUGACCGGCCACAUUGCGACUGAGAUACGGCCCAGACUCCUACGGGAGGCAGCAGUGGGGAAUAUUGCACAGUGGGCGGAAGCCUGAUGCAGCAACGCCGCGUGCGGGAUGACGGCCUUCGGGUUGUAAACCGCUUUCGCCUGUGACGAAGCGUGAGUGACGGUAAUGGGUAAAGAAGCACCGGCUAACUACGUG